AUGGCGAUGGCAGCCGCGGCGACCNNNNNNNNNNNNNNNNNNNNNNNNNNNNNNNNNNNNNNNNNNNNNNNNNNNNNNNNNNNNNNNNNNNNNNNNNNNNGCCGGCUGCGGAUGCCGGCGGCCCGCCCGGCCCGCCGCGGGGCGGUGCGGCUGUGGGGGCCCCGCGGCGCCGCGGCGCGCGCGACGUCCGUGGCGGCGCCCGCGGCCCCCUCGGGCGCCGAGGAGGUCGUGCUGCAGCCGAUCCGCGAGAUCUCCGGCGCCGUGCAGCUGCCAGGGUCCAAGUCGCUCUCCAACCGGAUCCUCCUCCUCUCCGCCCUCUCCGAGGGAACAACGGUGGUGGAUAACCUGUUGAACAGCGAGGAUGUCCACUACAUGCUCGAGGCCCUGGAAGCCCUUGGACUCUCCGUGGAAGCAGAUAAAGUUGCAAAAAGAGCUGUGGUUGUUGGCUGUGGCGGCAGGUUCCCGGUCGAAAAGGACGCCAAAGAGGAAGUAAAGCUCUUCUUGGGUAAUGCUGGAACUGCAAUGCGGCCAUUGACGGCAGCUGUAGUUGCUGCUGGUGGAAAUGCAACUUAUGUGCUUGAUGGAGUACCAAGAAUGAGGGAGCGACCUAUUGGUGACUUGGUUGUCGGUUUGCAACAACUCGGCGCAGAUGCUGAUUGUUUCCUUGGCACUAACUGCCCACCUGUCCGUAUCAAUGGCAAAGGAGGGCUACCUGGUGGCAAGGUUAAGCUCUCUGGUUCCAUUAGCAGUCAAUACCUGAGUUCCUUGCUGAUGGCUGCUCCUUUGGCUCUUGAAGAUGUCGAGAUUGAAAUCAUUGAUAAACUGAUCUCCGUUCCUUACGUUGAAAUGACAUUGAAAUUGAUGGAGCGUUUUGGCGUGACUGCGGCGCAUUCUGAUAGUUGGGACAGAUUCUACAUCAAGGGAGGACAAAAAUACAAGUCCCCUGGAAAUGCCUAUGUUGAAGGUGAUGCCUCAAGUGCGAGCUAUUUCCUGGCUGGUGCUGCCAUCACCGGAGGGACUGUGACUGUCGAAGGUUGCGGCACCACCAGUUUGCAGGGUGAUGUGAAAUUUGCUGAGGUACUUGAGAUGAUGGGAGCGAAGGUUACAUGGACUGACACUAGUGUAACUGUUACUGGCCCACCGCGUCAGCCCUUUGGAAGGAAACACCUAAAAGCUGUUGAUGUCAACAUGAACAAAAUGCCUGAUGUCGCAAUGACUCUUGCCGUUGUUGCCCUCUUUGCUGAUGGUCCAACUGCUAUCAGAGAUGUUGCCUCCUGGAGAGUGAAGGAAACCGAAAGAAUGGUCGCGAUCCGGACCGAGCUGACGAAGCUGGGAGCAACGGUGGAGGAAGGCCCGGACUACUGCAUCAUCACGCCACCGGAGAAGCUGAACGUCACGGCGAUCGACACCUACGACGACCACCGGAUGGCGAUGGCCUUCUCCCUGGCGGCCUGCGCCGAGGUGCCAGUCACCAUCAGGGACCCCGGGUGCACCCGCAAGACCUUCCCCAACUACUUCGAUGUGCUAAGCACCUUUGUGAAGAACUAG
This 1548-nucleotide ribosomal RNA is filed under the name Triticum aestivum (bread wheat). RNAcentral's name for it is "partial small subunit ribosomal RNA". Lineage: Eukaryota; Viridiplantae; Streptophyta; Magnoliopsida; Poales; Poaceae. The record is from RNAcentral.